AUGAACAAUAACAGCCCAAACGGAUAACCAUC
RNAcentral lists this small RNA (32 nucleotides) under Arabidopsis thaliana (thale cress). Its description in RNAcentral is "ATSL132250". Lineage: Eukaryota; Viridiplantae; Streptophyta; Magnoliopsida; Brassicales; Brassicaceae. The record is from RNAcentral.